GGCAGAUGACACGCACUUGCAAGUAAUUCUCCCCAAUGGAAGGCUUGAAAAGGCUGAUGGAGGUGCUUUGAGGACGUGCUUUUAAAGGACACCUGUUACCGACGGAGAAGACAAGAAUGCAGUCUUACCUUCCUGAACGUAGGAGCUGCUGCUCUGCUGUUGCUUUGAUCGGUUCUUUUGAUGUGAUUUUGGUGUUUUAAACCAACCAAAUAAACUAACUGACUGAUCAAACCAG
Long non-coding RNA from Stegastes partitus (bicolor damselfish), 235 nucleotides. RefSeq lists it as uncharacterized. NCBI's taxonomy places the organism in Eukaryota, Metazoa, Chordata, Actinopteri, Pomacentridae. The transcript is spliced from 2 exons. The record is from RefSeq and is a predicted model, not a curated record.